Molecule: ribosomal RNA, 444 nt
Filed under: uncultured bacterium
Lineage: Bacteria
Description: bacterial SSU rRNA
Rfam family: Bacterial small subunit ribosomal RNA
Source: RNAcentral
UCGUCAGCUCGUGCCGUGAGGUGUCGGCUUAAGUGCCAUAACGAGCGCAACCCCUGCGUGUAGUUGCCAUCAGGUGAUGCUGGGCACUCUGCACGGACUGCCACCGUAAGGUGUGAGGAAGGUGGGGAUGACGUCAAAUCAGCACGGCCCUUACGUCUGGGGCUACACACGUGUUACAAUGGGUGGUACAGCGAGUUGUCCGCCGGCAACGUCGGACCAAUCUUGAAAACCAUUCUCAGUUCGGAUUGGGGUCUGCAACCCGACCCCAUGAAGCUGGAUUCGCUAGUAAUCGCGCAUCAGCCAUGGCGCGGUGAAUACGUUCCCGGGCCUUGUACGCACCGCCCGUCAAGCCAUGAAAGCCGGGGGCGCCUGAAGUCCGUUUCCGCGAGGUUCGGCCUAGGGUGAAACUGGUGAUUGGGGCUAAGUCGUAACAAGGUAGCCGUA